GUAUUGUUUUUAACACUUGAUUGGAAGCCGCCCAGAGUGGCUGGGGAAACUCAGCCAGAUGAGUGGGGUAUAAAUAAUAAAUUAUUACUAUUAUUAUUAUUAUUAUUAUUAUAUAACAAUUUUAUUAUUUGUACACCACCAAUCUGACUGGGUUGCCCCAGCCACUCUGGACAGCUUCCAAAAUAUAUUAAGACAUAAUA
Podarcis lilfordi (Lilford's wall lizard) is the source of this 200-nucleotide non-coding RNA. The record is from the annotation of a GenBank genome assembly. NCBI's taxonomy places the organism in Eukaryota, Metazoa, Chordata, Lepidosauria, Squamata, Lacertidae.